Molecule: unclassified non-coding RNA, 373 nt
Filed under: uncultured bacterium
Lineage: Bacteria
Description: contains 16S-23S intergenic spacer region
Source: RNAcentral
UCCGGUUUUUCACCGGCAGUCUGGUGUGAGUCCCCAACUUAAUGCUGGCAACACACCACGGGGGUUGCGCUCGUUGCGGGACUUAACCCAACAUCUCACGACACGAGCUGACGACAGCCAUGCAGCAUCUGUGGUGCACCCUCGAAGGUCACACGUUUCCGUGCGCUUGCAGCACCAUGUCAAGUCCAGGUAAGGUUCUUCGCGUUGCAUCGAAUUAAACCGCAUGCUCCACCGCUUGUGCGGGCCCCCGUCAAUUCCUUUGAGUUUCAGCCUUGCGGCCGUACUCCCCAGGCGGGAUGCUUAAAGCGUUAACUGCGCCACUGACCAGCAAGCUGGCCAACGGCUAGCAUCCAUCGUUUACGGCGUGGACUAC